UCAGAGGUAAAACGUGUAGAUCUCUCAGUUUGCCUGCCUUGUAAGCCUCCUACAUUGUUUUUCUGCGAGGUUAAUUAUAUUAUAAAGACCUCAUUGCACUUGGCUACCUGUUAGUAAAUGGGUUGUGUGGCUAGUACGUCUGCAAGCGACGAAACAAGGCAGGAAAAGACACUGUCGCUGUCCGCCAUUCAAUGUCCAAAGCAGACGGGAGGACAACAUGCCACCACUGACGACCGGAUUGAGCAGGAGCUGACGUGUGAGUCUAUAGAAUCAGAAGAGUUCUACGACGAAGAGUCCAGCAACCACAGAUACAGAAGAUAGAACAUGCCGCAUUCGGACAUUUCUUCGCUCUGUAUCUCUAACCGUGCCUGGGGCAAAUCUACGUUCUUGGAUAGGCGGAGACUAUCCAGAGAUGUGCCCGAUCUUACGAACCCAUCCAGGCAUAUUUAUAACUAGAGAAAACAAACUGCAGUUGCCAUGGCAGAGGCUGGAACACCCACUGUGACGUCAAGCGCCGAUCAUAUACUAGUAACUCUGUCAGAUUACGACAUUAAACAAGUCAUUGCCACAGGCAGUUUCGCGACGGUGCAAUAAUUUUAAUGAAGACCCUCUGUUAAGUACCCAACUUUCCUAUCCAGCAUCCAUUAUUUUGCAGUCCCCAGAUUGCAUGCAUACCCCACUCAACCAAAAAAUCCUGGGCAUUAAGGUGUAUAUUUUGCAGACGAGUUGAAUAAAAUAUACUAUUUUC
This is a long non-coding RNA of Branchiostoma belcheri (Belcher's lancelet), 748 nucleotides long. RefSeq lists it as uncharacterized. The transcript is spliced from 3 exons. The record is from RefSeq and is a predicted model, not a curated record. Lineage: Eukaryota; Metazoa; Chordata; Leptocardii; Amphioxiformes; Branchiostomatidae.